RNAcentral lists this ribosomal RNA (528 nucleotides) under Tetragonula carbonaria. RNAcentral's name for it is "partial small subunit ribosomal RNA". It matches the Rfam family "Bacterial large subunit ribosomal RNA", at positions 1861 to 2626 of the family's 2925-position model. The record is from RNAcentral. Lineage: Eukaryota; Metazoa; Arthropoda; Insecta; Hymenoptera; Apidae.
GUCUUAUUGAUAAUAAUUUUAAGUCGACCUGCCCAAUGAAAUUUAUUGAAUGGCUGCAGUAUAACUGACUGUACAAAGGUAGCAUAAUCAAUUGGUUUUUAAAUGAAAUCUAGAAUGAAAGGAUUAAUGAAAUAUAUACUGUCUCAUAUAUAUUACAUGAACUUAAAAUUUUAAUCAAAAUGUUAAAAUUUUUUUAUGGGACGAUAAGACCCUAUAGAAUUUUAUAUCAUCAUGUUUUAAUGGUUAAUAUAAAACAUGUGAUGAUAUUUGGUUGGGAGGACUAUUAAAUUUAAUGAACUUUAAUUUCUGAUAACUUUAAUGAAAGAAAAUUUGAACGAUCUUUAAAUUAAAAUAUUUAGAUUAAAUUACCUUAGGGAUAACAGCGUUAUACUUUUUUAUAGGCCACAUAGAAAAAAGUGAUUGCGACCUCGAUGUUGAAUUAAGAUAAAUUUUGAACGCAGGAGUUUAAUAAUUAAGUCUGUUCGACUUUUAAAAUCUUACAUGAUUUGAGUUCAAAUCGACGUAAGU